AAAAAGGCAAACUAUAGGUCUCCGUGUCCAACUUUGACUGUCCGUCUUAUAUGGAAUUUUUUUAUAAUUCGUAUUUUCAUUAUUGUUAGAUGAUAAAACAUGAUUAAUAUUUUAUGCGUGACUUGUCUUUUAAAUUUUUUUUAUAAUUUUUUUAAAUAAGACGAACGGUUAAAUGUUGGGCACGGAAACCAGGGUUUGUCUUCUU
This is a microRNA precursor of Oryza sativa Japonica Group (Japanese rice), 205 nucleotides long. It matches the Rfam family "MIR812 microRNA precursor family". The record is from Rfam. Lineage: Eukaryota; Viridiplantae; Streptophyta; Magnoliopsida; Poales; Poaceae.